GGCAAGGUAGAUCUCUUUAGCUGAGGACAAUUCCUAGAGAAGGAAGAGCUGAUAGCUAUCAGUUGCUAAAACUCCCAGCAGAGGGAAGGAGAACUUCUCAUUCUCCUGAAAGAUGGGAAAAGAAGGUGUCAUUGCAACCAAAAGAAGAUAACAGUAAGAAUUACUGCCAAAGACUUAUUAGAAACAAUGCAAAUCAUGAGACAGUGGAACAGCAUUUUAACAUGAGCU
This is a long non-coding RNA of Leopardus geoffroyi (Geoffroy's cat), 228 nucleotides long. RefSeq lists it as uncharacterized. The transcript is spliced from 2 exons. The record is from RefSeq and is a predicted model, not a curated record. Lineage: Eukaryota; Metazoa; Chordata; Mammalia; Carnivora; Felidae.